GAGGUGUUAGUAAAACAAUUACCCUGCUUUGUCAUAACAGAAUUAUAAGAUAAAUACUUGUACACUUUA
RNAcentral lists this transfer RNA (69 nucleotides) under Rhinatrema bivittatum (two-lined caecilian). RNAcentral's name for it is "tRNA-Asp". The record is from RNAcentral. Lineage: Eukaryota; Metazoa; Chordata; Amphibia; Gymnophiona; Rhinatrematidae.